ACUAACCAAUGCAACAAUAGGAAUUCACAAGAACAGCUAGGAAAGCAAAUACUCUGCAUUUCUCUUUCGUACCGACUAAAGAGUAGAAAAAAUAUAUCAGUAUACAACAACAAAAUUGUAUGUAAUGCAAAAUCCAGCAUCAAUGCAUGAAGCGAUCAACCCAGCUUGGUAUAGCAUCCCCGGCCGCCUGCUCCUCCUCUUCACCGCUUUCCCGGAAACUUGCUGCUCCUCUCCACUGCAUCCCAGAAAUUCACCUAUUCAGAUUAAUUACUUAAGAUGGUCUUAUAGUUUUGAGAUAUUAUGCGGCUAUUUUUUCUAUGAUCUGUAAUCUAUGUUAAAUGACAGCUCCAGUGGCGGCAUCGCGCGUGAAGGGCAUGCGAUGGUGAACACCCUCAAGUGCCCUCUGUUUAUACCAGGGAGACAAGCUGGAGCUUGAUGAGCUCGAAUUACUUGAUGAGAACAUGACGUAAUCUCUUCAUGAGGGAGAGAAUAACGUUCAAUUAGUAGCAACAAGGCGCGGUUCAUCAAUUGUGGAAGACAAGUGUAUGUACUAUGUACCCGCACCUGUAAUAUGUAUUGAUUAUUCAUUCGGCUUCAAUUGGUUUU
Lolium rigidum is the source of this 606-nucleotide long non-coding RNA. RefSeq lists it as uncharacterized. Lineage: Eukaryota; Viridiplantae; Streptophyta; Magnoliopsida; Poales; Poaceae. The record is from RefSeq and is a predicted model, not a curated record. The transcript has 2 exons.